This 748-nucleotide ribosomal RNA is filed under the name uncultured bacterium. RNAcentral describes it as "bacterial SSU rRNA". It matches the Rfam family "Bacterial small subunit ribosomal RNA", at positions 590 to 1336 of the family's 1533-position model. The record is from RNAcentral.
GUUCGUGAAAUCUCACGGCUUAACUGUGAGCGUGCGGGCGAUACGGGCAGACUUGAGUACUGCAGGGGAGACUGGAAUUCCUGGUGUAGCGGUGGAAUGCGCAGAUAUCAGGAGGAACACCGGUGGCGAAGGCGGGUCUCUGGGCAGUAACUGACGCUGAGGAGCGAAAGCGUGGGGAGCGGACAGGAUUAGAUACCCUGGUAGUCCACGCCGUAAACGGUGGGUACUAGGUGUGGGUUUCCUUCCUUGGGAUCCGUGCCGUAGCUAACGCAUUAAGUACCCCGCCUGGGGAGUACGGCCGCAAGGCUAAAACUCAAAGAAAUUGACGGGGGCCCGCACAAGCGGCGGAGCAUGUGGAUUAAUUCGAUGCAACGCGAAGAACCUUACCUGGGUUUGACAUGCACAGGACGCCGGCAGAGAUGUCGGUUCCCUUGUGGCCUGUGUGCAGGUGGUGCAUGGCUGUCGUCAGCUCGUGUCGUGAGAUGUUGGGUUAAGUCCCGCAACGAGCGCAACCCUUGUCUCGUGUUGCCAGCGGGUAAUGCCGGGGACUCGUGAGAGACUGCCGGGGUCAACUCGGAGGAAGGUGGGGAUGACGUCAAGUCAUCACGCCCCUUAUGUCCAGGGCUUCACACAUGCUACAAUGGCCGGUACAAAGGGCUGCGAUGCCGCGAGGUUAAGCGAAUCCUUUUAAAGCCGGUCUCAGUUCGGAUCGGGGUCUGCAACUCGACCCCGUGAAGUCGGAGUCGCU